GUAACGCGUAUGCAACCUACCUUUAACAGGGGGAUAACACUGAGAAAUUGGUACUAAUACCCCAUAAUAUCAUAGAAGGCAUCUUUUAUGGUUGAAAAUUCCGAUGGUUAGAGAUGGGCAUGCGUUGUAUUAGCUAGUUGGUGGGGUAACGGCUCACCAAGGCGACGAUACAUAGGGGGACUGAGAGGUUAACCCCCCACACUGGUACUGAGACACGGACCAGACUCCUACGGGAGGCAGCAGUGAGGAAUAUUGGUCAAUGGACGCAAGUCUGAACCAGCCAUGCCGCGUGCAGGAUGACGGCUCUAUGAGUUGUAAACUGCUUUUGUACGAGGGUAAACGCAGAUACGUGUAUCUGUCUGAAAGUAUCGUACGAAUAAGGAUCGGCUAACUCCGUGCCAGCAGCCGCGGUAAUACGGAGGAUUCAAGCGUUAUCCGGAUUUAUUGGGUUUAAAGGGUGCGUAGGCGGUUUGAUAAGUUAGAGGUGAAAUUUCGGGGCUCAACCCUGAACGUGCCUCUAAUACUGUUGAGCUAGAGAGUAGUUGCGGUAGGCGGAAUGUAUGGUGUAGCGGUGAAAUGCUUAGAGAUCAUACAGAACACCGAUUGCGAAGGCAGCUUACCAAACUAUAUCUGACGUUGAGGCACGAAAGCGUGGGGAGCAAACAGGAUUAGAUACCCUGGUAGUCCACGCAGUAAACGAUGAUAACUCGUUGUCGGCGAUACACAGUCGGUGACUAAGCGAAAGCGAUAAGUUAUCCACCUGGGGAG
This 768-nucleotide ribosomal RNA is filed under the name uncultured bacterium. Its description in RNAcentral is "bacterial SSU rRNA". It matches the Rfam family "Bacterial small subunit ribosomal RNA", at positions 110 to 880 of the family's 1533-position model. The record is from RNAcentral.